CCCCGUGAACCUUUACUAUAGCUUGACACUGAACAUUGAGCCUUGAUGUGUAGGAUAGGUGGGAGGCUUUGAAGUGUGGACGCCAGUCUGCAUGGAGCCGGCCUUGAAAUACCACCCUUUAAUGUUUGAUGUUCUAACGUGGACCCGUAAUCCGGGUUGCGGACAGUGUCUGGUGGGUAGUUUGACUGGGGCGGUCUCCUCCUAAAGAGUAACGGAGGAGCACGAAGGUUGGCUAAUCCUGGUCGGACAUCAGGAGGUUAGUGCAAUGGCAUAAGCCAGCUUGACUGCGAGCGUGACGGCGCGAGCAGGUGCGAAAGCAGGUCAUAGUGAUCCGGUGGUUCUGAAUGGAAGGGCCAUCGCUCAACGGAUAAAAGGUACUCCGGGGAUAACAGGCUGAUACCGCCCAAGAGUUCAUAUCGACGGCGGUGUUUGGCACCUCGAUGUCGGCUCAUCACAUCCUGGGGCUGAAGUAGGUCCCAAGGGUAUGGCUGUUCGCCAUUUAAAGUGGUACGCGAGCUGGGUUUAGAACGUCGUGAGACAGUUCGGUCCCUAUCUGCCGUGGGCGCUGGAGAACUGAGGGGGGCUGCUCCUAGUACGAGAGGACCGGAGUGGACGCAUCACUGGUGUUCGGGUUGUCAUGCCAAUGGCACUGCCCGGUAGCUAAAUGCGGAAGAGAUAAGUGCUGAAAGCAUCUAAGCACGAAACUUGCCCCGAGAUGAGUUCUCCCUGAGACUUAGAGUCUCCUGAAGGAACGUUGAAGACGACGACGUUGAUAGGCCGGGUGUGUAAGCGCAGCGAUGCGUUGAGCUAACCGGUACUAAUGAACCGUGAGGCUUAACCUUACAACGCCGAAG
RNAcentral lists this ribosomal RNA (854 nucleotides) under Salmonella enterica. RNAcentral's name for it is "partial 23S ribosomal RNA". It matches the Rfam family "Bacterial large subunit ribosomal RNA", at positions 2089 to 2925 of the family's 2925-position model. The record is from RNAcentral. Lineage: Bacteria; Pseudomonadati; Pseudomonadota; Gammaproteobacteria; Enterobacterales; Enterobacteriaceae.